This 74-nucleotide transfer RNA is filed under the name Penicillium camemberti FM 013. RNAcentral's name for it is "tRNA-Met (CAT) (tRNA-Met-CAT-1-1, tRNA-Met-CAT-1-2)". It matches the Rfam family "tRNA". Rfam says of the family: Transfer RNA (tRNA) molecules are approximately 80 nucleotides in length. The record is from RNAcentral. Lineage: Eukaryota; Fungi; Ascomycota; Eurotiomycetes; Eurotiales; Aspergillaceae.
GCCUUCGUGGUCUAGUUGGUGAUGACGUCGGUCUCAUAAUCCGAAGGUCUCCAGUUCGAACCUGGACGAGGGCA